This 329-nucleotide unclassified non-coding RNA is filed under the name soil metagenome. Its description in RNAcentral is "partial contains 5.8S ribosomal RNA, internal transcribed spacer 2, and large subunit ribosomal RNA". The stretch from base 1 to 120 matches the Rfam family "5.8S ribosomal RNA", at positions 35 to 154 of the family's 154-position model. The record is from RNAcentral.
GAUGAAGAGCGCAGCGAAAUGCGAUAAGUAGUGUGAAUUGCAGAAUUCAGUGAAUCAUCGAAUCUUUGAACGCACAUUGCGCCCCUUGGUAUCCCGAGGGGCAUGCCUGUUCGAGCGUCAUUUCACCACUCAAGCCUGGCUUGGUGUUGGGCGACGUCCCCUUUGGGGACGCGCCUCGAAACGCUCGGCGGCGUGGCACCGGCUUUAAGCGUAGCAGAAUCUUUCGCUUUGGAAGUCGGGGCCCCGUCUGCCGGAAGACCUACUCGCAAGGUUGACCUCGGAUCAGGCAGGGAUACCCGCUGAACUUAAGCAUAUCAAUAAGCGGAGGA